Molecule: ribosomal RNA, 253 nt
Filed under: uncultured bacterium
Lineage: Bacteria
Description: partial 16S ribosomal RNA
Rfam family: Bacterial small subunit ribosomal RNA
Source: RNAcentral
UACGUAGGGUGCAAGCGUUAAUCGGAAUUACUGGGCGUAAAGCGUGCGCAGGCGGUUUUGUAUGUCAGCUGUGAAAUCCCCGGGCUUAACCUGGGAACUGCAUUUGUGACUGCAAGGCUGGAGUGCGGCAGAGGGGGAUGGAAUUCCGCGUGUAGCAGUGAAAUGCGUAGAUAUGCGGAGGAACACCGAUGGCGAAGGCAAUCCCCUGGGCCAGCACUGACGCUCAUGCACGAAAGCGUGGGGAGCAAACAGG